GACGGAGGGUGCUAGCGUUGUUCGGAAUGACUGGGCGUAAAGCGUGCGCAGGCGGUUUGCUAAGACAGGUGGGAAAUCCCCGGGCUUAACCUGCGAACUGCGCUUGUAACUGGCAAGCUAGAGUGUGGCAGAGGGGGGUGGAAUUCCAGGUGUAGCAGUGAAAUGCGUAGAGAUCUGGAGGAACACCGAUGGCGAAGGCAGCCCCCUGGGCUAACACUGACGCUCAUGCACGAAAGCGUGGGGAGCAAACAGG
This 253-nucleotide ribosomal RNA is filed under the name uncultured bacterium. Its description in RNAcentral is "partial 16S ribosomal RNA". It matches the Rfam family "Bacterial small subunit ribosomal RNA", at positions 524 to 776 of the family's 1533-position model. The record is from RNAcentral.